GUGAGCUAGGCUGAUGCCACUGCCCUCCAGCCUGGGCAACAGAGCUAAACCCUGUCUCUAAAAGGAAAAGAAACAAACGAAAACAAGAAGAUGUGGCAUAAAUUCUCUACUGCUGACCUGUGAACUCCAGAAAGCAGAGAAACAAGUAGACACAAUUUUGGACAUGCCUGAAACCUCCAGGAGACCACAGAUGCACCCCAAAUGGUCCUGAAAAUCCAGAAAAAUCCCAUAUAAGUUUGUAUAUGGGAAUAUACUUUUUCCAGAGAAAUCUAUAAGUUUCAUCAGAUUUUCAAAGACAGCUGCUAUGUGAGAAGGAAUAUAAGCCCCUGCUGGACCAAUGAUGAUAGUGUGCAUUACCCAAGGAUUAUGACUGAUCUAACACUGGGAACCUGAGGCCUAUACAAUAAAGGUUUUCAGAAAACAUAAACAAAAAAAUAAAAGAACGACUGCUCUGAUAUAGGUGCUUUUAAACGCAGCCAUUCUUGUUCUCUGUUUUUGUUUUACCAUAUUAACUUUUAUUAUUUACCGAAUAUUCUUCUUUAAAUUUGUUCAUUUUUUAAUCUUAAAUGCCUAGUUUAGCCACAUCCUAAGCAAAAAGAAAUACAUUGUGAAAUCAAAAGUAUAUUGUGCUACUGGCAGUUUUUUUCCCCCAAUGCAUAUUAGAAGAAAUUUAUCUCUAUUAAAAUUUAAAGAUGUUUGUAUCAUUUCCAAAAUCACUCAGGAUAUGCACAGAGGUGGCUUUAUAGCACUUCAGCAAACGCUGUCUCAAAAUAUCCUAAAAUUCACAUCAGGCAUCCAUUUUAUAGAGAAGAACCUUAAGCCUGAGACAAUUAAUGUAACUUAUUAGAGAUUCUAAGCAAAUGUGGAAAAACUUUAAGUCAGGUAUUGGGCAAUGCCAUCCCUGCUAAUGACUCAGCCCUGCCACCUAUCUCAUUGCUAUGCAGACAGUUUAAAAAGAUUUUUUUUAAUGCUCUCACAUUUCCCCACUACCUCAUAAAGAGAACCAAAUAGACCAGAGUAAAAACUUAAUCGAUUUAAUACUCUGGUAGUGAUCCCAGCAACCGAGGAGGGGAAGUGGAGGGGGAAGCCAGUGAGUUUCUUUCUACUCAAAUUCCAUCUCAUUUUUAUUUUCUCUUAAUGUUUUUUUGAAUCCCAAGUUCCAAAACCUGUCCCCUAUUAUGCAGUGCAAACGAGAACAGAUGGGGAAAAGUUAUGUUGGAAAGGGCUUUGGAGGGCCACAGAGAAGAGAAAUAUGACUACUCAAUGUGUCACACACCAACUUGCAGCUGCCACCAGCCCUUCCACACGAUGAGCUGCGUGUGGCACCAGCCCGUGGUGCUCAGAGGGAGCAGGCUUACUGCAGGAAGGGAGUGCAAUUAGAGAACAUUCGCUUUGCUUGUGUUUCCUUGAAAAUAUGAAUAAAGAGUGUAGCAGCAGCACAGGCAACAAAAGAGAAAUAAAUCCAAAGGCUAGCCUGGAAAAUGGUUAACUGUUGACUCGUAGUUUCCCAAAUUUUAACCAAUAUUGGCUUUAUUUAGCUUUUUUAUAUUAAAAAAAAAUGCUUUAGCAUGUCUCAAAGUCACCAUUCAGGUCUUCUCUCUGUCUAGGAAUUAGUAUUCUUGAACAAUCACACUAGCUAACAUGCAUGAUGUGGCCUUCCAACAAGUAUUUUUCAGUAUUCACAGGGUGCUUGUGAGUUCACUAAAUAUUUCAAGUGUGAGGCAGCCGACCUGGUUUCAGAUUGCAACUCUGACUCUGCCCGAGACUACUGUGAUGCUUCGGGCAAGUGACCUAACUUCUCUGAGCCUGUGAUCCAUUAAGUAUAAAACAAAGUUCCUAUAACUUACCUUUGAUGGUCUCUGUCUUCAAGGUGAUGUAUACAAAUGCCUGACAUAAGUACAUUAUUCAAUAUAUGACAGAUAUUAUUACUAUGAUUAUCAGAAAGCACACAAAAUGUUCUCUCUUUUCUCUGAAUACAAGAUAAAGAUACUAAGAAUAAAUAUAAUAGCAUAUAUAUAAACAUAAAUACACACACACAUACACAUAUAUAUUUGGCUAAGAGUCCCUGAGCAUCUAUGUUGAAAGUAAUUAUAAGGUUCAUGUGGUUUAAAUUAUUUUAUUCCAAUAGUGAUUCAGGCCAUACAGAUAGUAUCUGUGAACAAAUCUUAAUCUUGUAACCUGUUGUGUUGUUGAGUCCCACAGGAACUUCCUCUGAAAUUGUGCCUGUCUUUGUACAGUGAGUAUGUAGAGAUUUUAUAUCAUAAAAUACUGUUUUUCUGCCUAGGGUAGUUGAAAAAUUACCCAGAUCAAAAUUUUUAGAGGAGCAUGUUAAGUUGCAGUUUCCUGGGCCCACCUCAGACUAUAUUUUCAGCAUCUCUAAGGUAUAGAGUUCAGAGAUCCGCAUUUUAUUUAAAAAUGACUGGUGAUUCUCAAGCACACUGACUUUCAAGCACUACUUCCUUAAGAAGUGGGGAUACUGAGUGAUUCCAGCUACCUUCCCUUUUCUACCAUACACACUCAGACCCAGAAAUGCAGCAGUUGUUAGCAAGACAAAGCUACUGGCAUCUGGCAGAUCUAGCUUCUCUUACCCACAACCUCUGUUCUCCUGUUUUACAUAGUGUUCAGUUAAGCCUGGACUAGUGCCACCUUCCUUGUCCACAGGAGACACUAAGUUGGCUUUAGUUUGUUCUAAGAGGGUGGCCAUAGAUUCCAGGAUGCCCAGCAUAAUUAUUAACAGCACUCUUUUUCAUCUCAAAAGUGUCCCAGUUUGGAUGGUAGAGUAUAUCACACCACUAGGCCUAGACGAAAUUUGCUUAGCACACAUAGGACAUGAGUAAGGACCAUCAAAAUUUCUAAGAUAUGUUCUUCACUAGUGUAGGGAAGCUAUACCUAAAUGCCAUUGGCAACAAGAAGAAGGUGCUUCGGGAAGUGAUGUAGGAAUGAUCAGAGAAAACUGUACUGUUUCAUAUUAUCCUAUACAUUGGCAUCAAGAAAAGCAGAGCAUGGAAAAACUAGGAAAUCUAGACUGGUUAAUAUAUCCUCUCUCACCAAGUAGCUGAGCAAAAAAUAAAGCAUGGAUCUUGGGACCACACGGAGUUAGAUGUUUUCCUCCUUUCUGCUUAGUAGUUAUAAUCUUGGGCAAGUUAUUCAAUAUCUCUAAAUCUCACUUUUCUUGUGUGUAAAAAAGAUAAUAAGACUUCCUUCAGUUGUGGAGAGUCAAUGAAAUGUGUGUAUGAACCACCUGACACCAGGGUUAGAUGCUCAGUAAUGGCAGUCCCACCAUUGUUCUGUCCAUCUUGGCCACUCUGCGCUUUAGUGUCACCAAAGUCACAUGACUUUUAAAACUAAGAGUUAUUACAAGAGGAGACAUGAGGACGCUGUGAAAUGGGAAUAGAUUCCUGGAUCUGAAGAGUUCUCUCUCCCUCCCAACCCCCCCCCCCCAAUCCCCAACUCAAAGUCAUAAAUACUGAUGAGUUUAUGGAAAAGAAAGUGAAGAGCUAAAGGGACAAGAAGUAACUGAAGACUGAUCAGGAGAGGCAUAAUUAUAGUCCUCGAUGAGGCUAAGAAAGAAAGAGGAAAGGAAAGGGGAAAGGAAAGGAGAGGAAAUGAAAGGAAAACAGGUGAUGAGCUGUGAUCUCUAGUCAACAAAACCCAACUAGAAUAUAACAUGAGAACUUCCGCAGGGGGUCCUGCUAGUAUUUUGAGGAAUGUAGGUGGGGUAAGAGUCCACCCUAUGGAAAUGAUACUACUGUUCAUCUAACUGUUAGCUCUCAGCCAUCUAGACUGCUGUUUGGGUGGGCGGAAUGGAGAAAUACUAUUCUGUUCAAACUAAGAGCUUUGAAGUGGAGACAAACACAAUCUGGUAGUAUUACAGAGUCAUUAUUCACCCUGAUGACUCACUCUCUGGCUCCCACACAGGAGAGGCAAGAAGUAACAUUAGUGACCUUGAAGAUGUUGGCCAAGUAUAGACCCAGCCUUAAGGCCUGAUUUUUCAAAUGAACGUGUGUGUCUGUGUGUGUGUGUUGGGGUGGGGGAGAAAGAGAGAGAAUAGGGGAAUGCAUGUUAAAGAGUAAGAAUAUAUGAUGAACAAUUCUACAAACCCAGUAUAAAAACUAUUAAUAUUUAAACAGCUAACUCAACUAAAUAACAAGUAUUUAUAAGGAAAUAAUCAUUGUGUGAGCGGGUCUCAGCUCAAAGCAUUGAUAAGGUAGUUCAAUGUGGGAACAUUUAAAGUAAUCAUUCUUAGGUAGGAGGUAAAUACAGAAUUCAGUCCCUAUUCCUGGGCUCAAAUUUAUCUCAUCAUUUCCAUUCAUCAUGACUCUUUUAUAAAUCCAGUUUGCUGAGAGUAAUGUUUUCUGUGUUCUUUAACCACACACUGUUCUAUGUUCGGAGCUCUACAGACAAAAUUCAAACAGAUGCAGUCCCCAGGUCUUUGACAACAUGCAAUGGGAAGCAGGCAAUAAUAAAAGAAUGCAUCAGAACCUACAGAUGUGCAGGCAGCUGCAUGAAUGGCAAACAGAGUCGUGGCCUCAGACCAGAUGGUCCCUAUGAUCUGGUGAAAAAUUAUCAACAUGGAACCCGGCCAGUUUCAGUCUUUAGAUCUGUGACUGGAGCCCACCCAGCUUGGCAAGUUAGCCAGAUGUGUUCAACAGAGUUCCACCUGAGACUUCGCCAGGAUACCAAGCACCUCUUUUCUUGCAUUUCAAGGUUGGAAGUCCAAGAUCAAGGUGCCAGCAUGGUUGGGUUCUGGUGAGGACUCUCUUCUUGGUUUGCAGACAGCCAUCUUGUCACCAUGUCCUCGCACAGGAGACAGAGAAAGAGACAGAGGGAGAGAGCACGCUCCAUACUGAUGACUUCAUCUAGACCUAAUUAUCUCCCAAAAGCCUUAUCUCCAGACACCAUCACUUUGGGGCUUAGGGGCUCAACAUGUGAAUUUGGGGUUGGGGGGAACACAAUUUAGCACUGGCCUAGCAAAAACAUCAGAUGUCUGCUACACAGCCAAAUGUAGUUUGCAUCUUAUUUAAGAGUUCCAAAGAUCACAGACUGAAAUAUAUAAUAGCUUCACUACCAGCUUGUUUAGUAACUUGGGAAACUUAACUUCACAAUUCUCGUUCUAGCAAAACAGAGUUUGUGAAACGUACUCCCUUCUUAUGUCACCAAAUGUAAGCUUCAGUAAAUUAACAAUAACCAAGAGCUAGAAAGGGUCUCAGAUCUCUUAAGGGAGUGAUUUUCAACCUUACCUUGGCUGCACAUUAAAAUCAGCUGGGACAAUGUUUAAAAAUGCACACAGCCAGAGAUCCUGAUUUAAUUGGUCUGGCGGGAAGAUCUUGGGCAUCAGUAUUUUUAAAAUGUUCCUCAGGUGGCUCUAAUGCAUAGAGAAUGUCAAAAUGCCGUGGUUUAGGGAUAGUUGGCUCUCACUCCACUUUCCUCCUGCAGAAAGUCCUUUUGUAUCUAUGGAGGGUAGCUGUCAGCUUCUGUUUUUUUUAAUGAUUACAGGGAGGGGAGUAGCUUAGUCUGCUCCAGCUACCAUAACAAAAUAUAGACUGAGUGGCUUAAAUAACAAAAAUUUAUUUUGUCACAGUUCUGGAGGCUGGAAAGCCCAAGGUCAAUGUUCCCACAGGGUUUGUUUCCUGGCUGAGGUUCUUUUCCUGGCUUGCAGACAGCUGCCUUCUCUCUGUGUCAUAGAGGCAGAGAGGGAGGAAAGGAGGUAAGAGAUGGUUCUCUGGUACCUCUUCCUAUAUGGACGCCAAUCCUAUUAGACCAGAGCUCUACCCUAUGAUCUCAUGUAAUCUUAAUCACCUCCAUAAAGGCUCUAUCUCCAUAUAUGGUCACUUUGGGGGUUAGGGCUUCAACACAUACAUUGGGGUGGUGAGGGGAACAACAUUCAGUCCAAAGCAGGGAAGUCACAGCUCAAUGGACUAUGGAGGGCCUUAAAUUGUUAGAAAGCUCUUCUUCAUAUUAAGCCCAAACUUCUCUUCCUACAUUCCACCUCUUUGUCUUACUUCUGUGGAAAAUGUUAAGAAAAUACUAAGAGACGUGGGAGGCGACUAAUACAGCUAACAAGUAUAUUGCUGGGUAUUUCCCACAUAUUAUCUCUCUCAAGCCUCAGGAGAAUACUGUGAAGGAGAUAUCACUCUCCCCAAUUUACAGAUCAGAAGACUGAUGCCAUAGAGGAUGAGUAAUCUGCCUAAAUUCAUAAGGCCAGAAAGUGGCAAAAUGAGAAUUCAAACCCCAGCCUUUCUGCCUCCUAAGCCCAUGUUCUUCCCACCAUCAUGCUGGGGAAAUCAUGUCUUCUACCCCAAACUCCUCAGAUGGAUGAGGGUAAAGUUGCCUCCCAGCUCUCCCUGCUGAGAACAUGCCUUGUCUACCCAAAUGCUGCUUCUGCUACUGCUUGUGUUUUGCUUUCUUUCUUCUUUCCCUUUCUCCCCUUUAUUUCAUUCUUUAAUUUUCUGCUCUUCACCCCAGCUUUGAUUUAUUUCUGUCACUUUAUAAUCUUAUUUUGCCUCAGUGUUUGUCCUGAAAUUGCUUUCAUUCUAUAAACUCUGGUACAGACCAAACAUUAGCAUGUGUAAGAAUCACACAGGCAGAUUCUGAUUCACUAGGUGAGGAGAGGCCCAAGACUUUGCACUUUAGACAAGCUCUCAGGUGGUGAUGUUGUGGCUGGUUGGUAGAUCACACCUGCAAUAUGCUAGUGCUGUGUAGACAAGCUCCUCAGACUUCCUAACAAGCUGACCUGUACAAAGUGUUUGUGCCUUUUUCCUUUCUCCUCUAGAGGGAAGAUCAGCUCGUACUUCCAGUACGUACAACGAUGACUGGCAGAUACAGAAAACGCUUUUUGAAGAUAAACUCUCCAGGUCAUGGGAGCAGACAUCUGAUUUGCAUAUAAUCUGAAUUUUUUUUUUCCUGCUUACUAUCCUUUCCUCCUUUUUCUGGAAUAGCUCUGCUUUUUUCAUUGGGGGAAGUGUGAUCAUAAUGUGUCUGCCAAUCAUACUGACCUAUUCCCGGCUUAUUCCACCACAGGUGUGGACAUGAAGGGCUCAUGAAGGGCAAGUCAGAAUCCUCUUAGAGAAUUGCCAGGAAUGCUGGGAGAAACAAGAUGGCCACCUUUUCCUUCAUAUAGAGGGCACUUUCCUGGCAAUGAAGCUAACACAGAGAAAAAUAAAACCUAAAGAUAGAGAGAGGGAGAAAGGGAGAGAAAAAGGAGGGAGGGAGUAAUCAAGAGAGAGAAGUUCUGAUAAUACUGCAUUCAGUUUUGCUGAAGCCCGUCUUUCCUUAGAGUGCCCAUGGCCGUGGUCAAUAAUGACUCUUUGGUUUAAGCUCAUUUGAGUUGAGUUUCUGCUCCUCACAACCACACUUUAGCAAUGGAAGGCACAAGAUGUGUCCAUCUUGUUCAACAUGGUGUCCCCAGUGUUGGCAUUCGAUACCUGUUCAGAAUGAACAGAGAGGGUUCUCACUAUACAAAUAUUUUUCUGGGUCUAAACAUUCACCAGAAUACCUCAGCUCUUCCUUGUAGCUGCAUAUGGAACUUCUUCACAAUCUGUCCUUUUUGGUUAUAGUGGAUACUGGGAAUAGAACAGCAGUUAAGAAUAUGGGCUCUGGGUUGGGUAGAAUUGGGUUCAAAUUGUGUCUUUGCAACCUGCUAUUAAGUUGUAAACUCUCUGAGGCUCAAUUUUUUCCACUUAUAAAAUGAGAACAAUAACAUUAUUUAUGAAGCAAUUACCACUUUUGCCUCCUCCAUUGCUCUUUCUCACUCUUUUUUUUCAUAACUGAACUUGUUGCACUGGCCCAGGGUGGCCAUUUGUCCCAGGCAAAGCCAAUGAUAGCACCCUUGUCCCAACCAGGUUGGAUUAACAACUCUGCUUGGAAUUCAAACUAUGAGUGAAAACCCACAGAGGUGGAAGGUCGUUUAAACAGUUAUCCAAUGAUGAUGGUGCACAGACUGAAGAAAGCACCAAGAGCUGACUGGAAUCAAACUGCUAUUGUUUCUGUCCUUCCUAACCCUGUCUUGCAGCUCUUCUGAUUUGUGAGCCAGCCCAGAGACCUUCCAAUAAAUCUUUUUUGUGUAGGAUACCAUCAGAGAGCCUUAAUGAAUCAAGCCAUGCUUUGAGAAUUAAAUAAGAUAAUACAUGUGAGGUAAUUAGCACAUUACUGGGGAUAAAAUAAACGCUUAAUAAAUGUUAGCUAGUAAUACUACAGUUUGACUUCCUACCUGAUGAAUUUUACACAGUUAAACAAAUACCUCCCUGUUGAUUACAAAGAAGUCGGCCAUAUGGAGUUGCUUGUGUAAGAAGCAGCCUGACUGCGAACUGCAGACUACACAUCGGUGUCCACUCUUAGCCUUAGUGAAGGUGAGAAUCAGAUGUAGAAAUUCUGAUUCAGUAUAUUGGGGUGGUGAGGCAGAGCUCAAGUUUGAAACCACCAAUUAUUUUCUCCAAUUAUGGUAUCUUAAUAUAUAUGGUAGCUUUCUUCUGAUUGGCAGAUAAGUGAAACUCCUAUUGUUUCUCAAUUUUGGGCUCUUUAGAAACAGACUGCUCAUUAGUUAAUUUCAUGUGUGUUACGAGUUUUAAAUCACCGCAGUAGGCUGCAAAAUGGCCCCCAGGCAUGUCAGGUCCUAAUCUUUGAAACCUUUAAAGUUUAACUUAUAAGGAUAAAGGGUUUUUGAAGAUGAGAUUAAAUUAAGGAUCUUAGAUGAGAUGAUCUGGCGUUAUCUGGGUGGGCUCUAAAUGUCAUCACAAGUGCCUUUAUGGGGGGAAGGAGUGGGUGAGGAAAAUUUCAUUCACACACAGAGAAGAAGAUGAUGUGAAGACAGAGUUAGAAUUGGGGUGACAUGGCCACAAGUCAAGAAAUGCUGGCAGCCACCAGAAACUGAAAGAGUCAGGGAUUAGAUUCUCCCCCUAGAGCCUCCAGAAGAAGCGUGGCCCUGCCAACACCUCGAUUUCUGCCUGGUGAAACUGACUGUGGAUUUCUGGCCUCCAGAACUGUGAGAGAAUAAAUUCAUGUUGUUUGAAGCCAUCAGGUUUGUGGCAAUUUGUUACU
This is a non-coding RNA of Microcebus murinus (gray mouse lemur), 9036 nucleotides long. NCBI's taxonomy places the organism in Eukaryota, Metazoa, Chordata, Mammalia, Primates, Cheirogaleidae. The record is from RefSeq and is a predicted model, not a curated record.